AAGUCGUAACAAGGUUUCCGUAGGUGAACCUGCGGAAGGAUCAUUAAUGAAUUUGAAAGGGGUUGUAGCUGGUCUUUUCCGAGACAUGUGCACGCCCUGCUCAUCCAUUCUACCCCUGUGCACACUCUGUAGGUCGGUUUUGAAGUGAUUCCUCACGGGAUUGCUCGGGCCUUCCUAUGUUUUCAUACAAACACCUUAAAGUUAAAGAAUGUAAUCGCGUGUAACGCAUUUAAUACAACUUUCAGCAACGGAUCUCUUGGCUCUC
RNAcentral lists this unclassified non-coding RNA (265 nucleotides) under air metagenome. Its description in RNAcentral is "partial contains small subunit ribosomal RNA, internal transcribed spacer 1, and 5.8S ribosomal RNA". The stretch from base 1 to 46 matches the Rfam family "Eukaryotic small subunit ribosomal RNA", at positions 1786 to 1831 of the family's 1831-position model. The record is from RNAcentral.